GAUGAACGCUAGCGGCAGGCCUAAUACAUGCAAGUCGGACGGGAUUCAGGAGCUUGCUUCUGAUGAGAGUGGCGCACGGGUGCGUAACACGUAUGUAACCUACCUUUAUCAGGGGGAUAGCCUCUCGAAAGAGAGAUUAAGCCCGCAUAAAAUCACAGCACAGCAUUGUGUAAUGAUCAAAUAUUUAUAGGAUAAAGAUGGGCAUGCGGAACAUUAGCUAGAUGGCGGGGUAACGGCCCACCAUGGCGACGAUGUUUAGGGGAUCUGAGAGGAUGGCCCCCCACACUGGUACUGAGACACGGACCAGACUCCUACGGGAGGCAGCAGUAAGGAAUAGUGGGCAAUGGGCGGAAACCUGAACCAGCCAUGCCGCGUGCAGGAAGACGGCCCUACGGGUUGUAAACUGCUUUUAUACGGGAAUAAACCCAGAUACGUGUAUCUGGCUGAAUGUACUGUAAGAAUAAGGAACGGCUAACUCCGUG
Molecule: ribosomal RNA, 482 nt
Filed under: uncultured bacterium
Lineage: Bacteria
Description: partial 16S ribosomal RNA
Rfam family: Bacterial small subunit ribosomal RNA
Source: RNAcentral